This 898-nucleotide long non-coding RNA is filed under the name Anas platyrhynchos platyrhynchos (common mallard). RNAcentral describes it as "lncRNA (ENSAPLG00000018702.1)". The record is from RNAcentral. Lineage: Eukaryota; Metazoa; Chordata; Aves; Anseriformes; Anatidae.
GAUUAAACGUAGCAUUAUCAUAUUUAUUUUGGCUUGCCUCCUUGCCAGUCCCCUGCUGUAAAUUAAAUGAUUGCCGAGCUAGAUUAGCAGAAAGCAUAUGUGGAAAUUACCUUUUAAUUUCUUAAUUACAUUGCACUCACCUGCAGCUCAACCUGCCAGUGUAAGGAGAGUGUGAAGUUAAUUUCCAUUGAUAUAUUAUCUGCUUUCUUAUAAAUUAGGAUCCUAUUAGAGAGGAAGCACACCAAGAACACGCUGUUCCCAGUCAGGCUGUGGAUGGGAUCUGCUCUUAGGGCUGGCUUACAGGAGCUGGGCUGCCUGCAGCUUGUGUCAGAGGAAGGGGAGAUGGCAGAUUGAUUUCCUAUCAUAAACCCCUUCCUGCUGUGAAGAGGAGAGGAAUGCCGUUUGUACGCCGCUUGCAGACGGACCGAUGCUGAAACUACUUUGGGUUGACUUUGUGCCCCAACCUAAGCCAAGGCAGGGUGGCAGUGACAAGGUAACCUCCAGACGGAGCAAUGCCGAUCCAGCCCCUCUCUGGGUCUCCACCUAAGAAAGGAGAAGGAUUUGUGCGAUGUAACCGUGCCUCCUGCACCUCGCCAGCCCUGCCCUGCGGCACGGAGCUGUGCUUGGGAUGCUCCUGGGCUGGGAGAAGAGCUGGGGGCAGCGGAGGGCCGGGGCAGCAGCUCUGGGGCCGGAAAAUGGGAGAGCACAGAGGAUUUGGGAGGACAUCUCACUGUCAUUUUCCUGUGUUGCUGGGAUCUAAGACCAGACUCAUCAGCAAGCAAAAGACUGAUUCUGAGACCUCUGCUUCAGUUGCUUGGAUCCAUGGCCACAAUUAGAGAACUAGCCAUCGGCUGGAUUUUUCAGAGGUUUAAAAUAAUAAAGCACUUCUCAAUUUUCA